RNAcentral lists this ribosomal RNA (600 nucleotides) under uncultured bacterium. Its description in RNAcentral is "bacterial SSU rRNA". It matches the Rfam family "Bacterial small subunit ribosomal RNA", at positions 78 to 695 of the family's 1533-position model. The record is from RNAcentral.
ACACCUUGGGUUGGCUAGUGGCGAACGGGUGAGUAACACGUGAGGAACCUGCCCCGAAGACCGGGAUAACCAGAGGAAACCCUGGCUAAUACCGGAUACCCCCACCGGAUCGCAUGGUCUGGUGAGGAAAUGGAUUCCGCUUCGGGAGGGCCUCGCGGCCUAUCAGCUUGUUGGUGGGGUAACGGCCCACCAAGGCGUCGACGGGUAGCUGGUCUGAGAGGACGAUCAGCCACACUGGGACUGAGACACGGCCCAGACUCCUACGGGAGGCAGCAGUAGGGAAUCUUGCGCAAUGGGCGAAAGCCUGACGCAGCAACGCCGCGUGCGGGAUGAAGGCCUUCGGGCUGUAAACCGCUUUCAGCAGGGACGAAAUUGACGGUACCUGCAGAAGAAGCCCCGGCCAACUACGUGCCAGCAGCCGCGGUAACACGUAGGGGGCAAGCGUUGUCCGGAUUUAUUGGGCGUAAAGAGCUCGUAGGCGGUUUCGUUAGUCGGGUGUGAAAACCCCAGGCUCAACCUGGGGACGCCACCCGAUACUGCGAUGACUAGAGUCCGGUAGGGGAGUGUGGAAUUCCUGGUGUAGCGGUGAAAUGCGCAGAU